This 849-nucleotide ribosomal RNA is filed under the name uncultured bacterium. Its description in RNAcentral is "bacterial SSU rRNA". It matches the Rfam family "Bacterial small subunit ribosomal RNA", at positions 622 to 1465 of the family's 1533-position model. The record is from RNAcentral.
UNCGCCGGGUACGGGCGGGCUGGAGUGCGGUAGGGGAGACUGGAAUUCCCGGUGUAACGGUGGAAUGUGUAGAUAUCGGGAAGANCACCAAUGGCGAAGGCAGGUCUNUGGGCCGUCACUGACGCUGAGGAGCGAAAGCGUGGGGAGCGAACAGGAUUAGAUACCCUGGUAGUNCACGCCGUAAAUGGUGGAUGCUGGAUGUGGGGCCCGUUCCACGGGUUCCGUGUCGGAGCUAACGCGUUAAGCAUCCCGCCUGGGGAGUACGGCCGCAAGGCUAAAACUCAAAGAAAUUGACGGGGGCCCGCACAAGCGGCGGAGCAUGCGGAUUAAUUCGAUGCAACGCGAAGAACCUUACCUGGGCUUGACAUGUUCCCGACGGCCGUAGAGAUAUGGCCUCCCUUCGGGGCGGGUUCACAGGUGGUGCAUGGUCGUCGUCAGCUCGUGUCGUGAGAUGUUGGGUUAAGUCCCACAACGAGCGCAACCCUCGCCCUGUGUUGCCAGCACGUCAUGGUGGGAACUCACGGGGGACCGCCGGGGUCAACUCGGAGGAAGGUGGGGAUGACGUCAGAUCAUCAUGCCCCUUACGUCCAGGGCUUCACGCAUGCUACAAUGGCCGGUACAGCGGGAUGCGACAUGGCGACAUGGAGCGGAUCCCUGAAAACCGGUCUCAGUUCGGAUUGGAGUCUGCAACCCGACUCCAUGAAGGCGGAGUCGCUAGUAAUCGCGGAUCAGCAACGCCGCGGUGAAUGCGUUCCCGGGCCUUGUACACACCGCCCGUCAAGUCAUGAAAGUGGGCAGCACCCGAAGCCGGUGGCCUAACCCCUUGUGGGAUGGAGCCGUCUAAGGUGA